Phasianus colchicus (ring-necked pheasant) is the source of this 5243-nucleotide non-coding RNA. The record is from RefSeq and is a predicted model, not a curated record. Lineage: Eukaryota; Metazoa; Chordata; Aves; Galliformes; Phasianidae.
CGCCUCUCCUCCGCGGUUGUUUUUAUACGGCCAUAGAGACAGACGGGCACAUGUCUGUGUGUGUACACACCGAGAGGUUUGUUUAUUUUUUUGUUGAUCAAAGCCACGUUCAUCACCGGGCGGUCCUUUCCAUCACACAAUGCUUUUGCAACAGCACUUCAGUGCUCUCGGGCACUGGUCCAGCGCUCAUCGGCACUGCAGUGACCGCCAACCGCCACGGGCCCCACUGCAGCACCAGGUCCGGUGUGAGGCUCCACCAACGCGGGGCUGAAAUGGACCUCCGCCUCACCGCCCUGCUGCACAGUGCCGGAACAGGACCUCCGUAUCAGUGUCUUCCUGCAGAAUGCACUUCCACCAGGCCUGACGCAAUACGAUUGUGGACACACGGGCCACAGAUGUAGCUUCUUUUUGUUUAAUAUCUUGAAAUUGCUGGAGAGUCACACUCAUCCCAACUCUGGAGCUACAGGCAGAUUUCAUUACCUGAGCUUCAACUCCCAAGCCGAUGGGACUCUUCUGCUCCAUGACAUCGUGAUGAAAGCAGACGGGAUGGGUCUCUGGGCGCAGCAUCACCUCACAGUGAUCAUUUUUUAGGGUCGUGUCCAUGGGCUUCUCUUUGUUUUAGAAGAAUAGUAUUUAAAUUUUGCAGAAAGCACGUUGGUUUUUUUGGCUUUUUUUUUGCAUCACAAAAUUGUUUAAUUCUGAGAAAACUGUGGGCCUUCAAUCCGUUUGCUUAAAGAAGACUAAAUUGCAUGAAGAAACUGAAGUCUCUAGAAAGCUAGGUAACAUGUUUGUAAUUGCAAACCGCUCAACCUUUAUUUCUGUAAUAAUUUUGAUGGCAAAGUGGACAACUUUCUCUUCUCAGCACUGGUGUGUAGGCUUUAAAGAUGCAGUAAGUUUAUGAAGUCCAACAGCAGAAUUUCAGAGAAGGUUGUUGUCAAGGAAGACAUGAGCUGUUUGCUGAAGGUUGGGGAAGAGGUAGCGAGAGAUUCACUCGCACCUUCCUGUGUUAUCAUCUCAGAUGUGCCUGUGCUUCUAAAGGAGUUUAACCUCUCGGUACUUGGAAGGACUUAUUUCCUAGUUAGGAGCAGAUAAGGAGUAACAGUGGGUGGAGGAAGGGGGAAUGGGAGCAUGCACAUAACCUGAGGCAGAAGGAAAGCCGAUAAGGGACCUCAUGUAGAGGACUACCCUGAAGAAGGACGUGGGAGGGGCUGCAAAACAUCCACGAGAUAGCAACAGGAAAUAUAAGCCCAGAAACGAGGGAGGGAAAACCCCUCAAGACUGCCUUGUUUGGCCCACAGAAACUGCAAACACUGCCUUCCCAUCCAUCUGCCGAGCAGCGACAACAUGCUGAGCUGAAGUCAUCUGGCUGAAGGUUUCUGUGGUCUCCUGUUCACCAAAUGUUCAGUCACAACUCCAGCGUGCCAGGCUUUCACUUUCGAUUAUCACGCACUGAACUUGUGAUUACCUGCGUGCAUGUUCUGCACUGCAGAAUCUGCAAAGUGCAUUCUGGCAGAUGUAUGCUGCAAUAAUUCUACCCCUUCCAUUUUGUUCCAUUUUCUCUUCCUUCACUAUGGCCCCAGCUCAGUGAACACCUCACAAGCCCGCACAGGGCAUUACUUCGUGCUGCCACUUUCCAUGGUUUCGUCACCUCAACUUCUGGGAAGUCUUUUUACAGCCAUAUUUAUAAGGCAUAUCCUUAAAAUAGCUGAAAUUACUUGUAACAGUGAGUACUCCGCCUACUAAGCACAUACAAGCAAAUAUUUGCAAUAACUGGACCGGUGUUUGCACAGCACCACGCACACCGCCUGGACUCCAUAAAUAAUAAUACUUGGCACUCACAGAGGGGUUUCCAUUUUCAAAGCACUUUAGUCAUAACCCUUGACACCUAUAUGGCCUUUUACAUCUUUACAAGAAUUAAUUAAUCCUCGCAGUGUCCUGUGAGAUAGGUAUGUGUUGCAGUAAUAACAAUAACAACAAUUAAUAAUUCAUGCAUUCUACUCGAAAAUCACUUCAGGGAUUAAAAUGCGUCUGUAAUACUAGGGUUUUUUUUUUAUUAACAUUUUCCAGCAAAUAAUAAAACCCAUGCUAUUGUGUUAAAUCUGUAUAUUAUCUGACCAUAAAUCUUCUACAGACUGGGACGAAGCUAAAGGCCGAGUGAGAUGCCAGAACAUCAGCAGGAAUUAGAUUACCGAGUUCAGAAAAGCAAGCUCGAGCCAGGUCCACCACGCAGCUUAGGUGCCAGAAUGAAACUUCCCAUGUAUGGCAGUGCAUAAAUAAAUACGAGCAACCCAGGAAUGUUCUUCGUUCAUUUUUAGCUCUUGUUUAUGCAAAGACUCUCCUGGUUACAGCAUGCAUUGUAUUACCCUCUGCUGCACGAACACAGCCCCAGUGAUACGCUCUUACUGGGUGAGAAAUGACAGUGACUCAGCAGCACAUUGUGCAACAGGGAGACCAGGGACAAGUCUGGCCAAUACUGGGGCAAACUUUUCCUCCUAAAAAUUACCAUACUGCCUUUGAUAUGCAGGCAAGUGCCAGUUAAACCUGUUAUUUAAACAAGUGGGGCUGAAAUCUUGUUGGCUUUAAUAGAAGAAAUGAACUGCUCCCACUGCAUCUGGCUGUGGGUUUGCUGGCAUAAGAGGACGGUGCCUAUCAAGGGAAAAGGAAGCUCACCACUUGGAGAUCCUUGAAGCAGCCAUUAGCCACAUGGUCACAGCAAGGCUACAUUCAUGGCAGAGUUCUAACUCCCAUCUCGCAUCCUGCAAUGGCCAAGCAAAUCCAAACUUGUUUUAUUUUAACAACAUUACAAAAAAGGGUGCGGUACUGGCAGCUAUCACACACCUCUGAAGUUUCAAGCGAGACAUACCUGGCUGCAGCUUGAGAUCAAAAUGGAUUAUCUCAUGGCACCAGGAUGUGGUUGCAAAAAUUCAGUGUUUUAAGUGUCAUGGCGAUUCAUAAAACAGUCUACACUAUGUGCUACAAUUGCUAAAUAAAAGUACAAGCACAAAGGGCGCAAAAUCUACUAGAUAUUUACCUUUAUCACUAUCACAUCAUAUUUUAAUAUUUCCUGGCAGCACAGGAAUGCAGCCAAUUUGAAGAGGAUUCUUUUUUCUUACCAACACUUAAGCUCCUGCUUUUCUCUCGUUAUACCUACGUUGUUCUCCUCCUCCACACGAGCAGAGGACUGGGAGCCAGGACUGUUUGCUCUCUAAUCAGAGUCCUGAAAGGCUCCUCAUGUGGCCUUCAGCAAGCUGUUUAUUAUCAGUGCAUGAGCUUCCAUCUAUAAAAAGAGAGGACUAACACAGCUACUAAUGAUGAUGAUAUUGUUAACACAUAAUUAUCUAUCUCACAAGAAAAUUGGGAGGGUAAAUUAGUGUUUAUUAUAAAGUAUUUUAAAGAUGGUGAUAUUAUUUAUAGGAGGGCUAUACUUUAUGUACGGAGGACAGCAAUUGUGGAAAACCACCUUCUAAUUAGGUUUUGCUGUUGAUAUCGCCAAAAAUAUCAAUCUGUACUUUCAAAAGUCCUUGACUUUUCUAUUUCUUAUGUUAUAGACAUCAGAUGUUUUCUUGUAAAUAGCUAUAUCCACAUAUAGAAUACCUUAAGCAUUAUCUUCUGAUAUAUUAAACAUAAAGUGAACUAUAUGGUAUGGCCAAAGCACGCCCUGCAGUACGUUAUUAGGCACCUCGCUCCAAUGACUGAAGCCACUGCGAAGUCAAGAAGAGGUAGGUUGCUUUUUUUCCCCCUUCCACCCUUCCCACCCCACAAGCUGGAAUUUCAGCCUAGACGUUCACUGCUCUUCACGUGCUUAACACCUAAAGCACACCCUAGCGUGGUUCAGGCUUUGUUUUAUACAGCCCUUUAGCUUUGAAAUGGUGCGUGCAGGUACUUAUCUCUGAUGCAUGGCAUCAACACGGGUCCAGCGAUAAGGAUUACGUUGCCUGAGCCUCCUGAAUUUCCCCUUUUUUGUCAAUUAUCUACAUUUUGUGGAACAUUCCUUUCUUUCAGCUUCAUUCUUGAGGACUUGUGAUAACGUAUCAUACUCCUCUGAACCAGUCGUAAUCUUCACAACCUCUGAUGCACGCUGACAACAUUAACUGUGAGCCGCUGCAGUAGAUUAAGCAGCAUAUUUCCACAAAACAUUUCCAAUACAAGACCAAAUUUUAUGAGCUAUGUGAGCAUUCUGUGUAACAUUUCUAGCAGGUACAUAAAACACUCCAGGGUAUAUACGGAAAGACAUCUGACCAGUGCCGUGUGUAUUAGAAAUAGCUUUCCAUCUUUCACAGUGCUAGAUGUGUGGCAUAACAUGAGAUCAACAGACAGGGAAGAAAAAAAAAGGACAGAAACAAAACCAAAGCACAUGGUGGAAGAAUGAACGGAGAAUUAUUUCCUCAGCUGAGCCAAUAUUUCCUACAACACGGCUUUCUGUGAGUCAGCGUUUUUGUGUCACAGAACUUAAAAUAGCACAAGUGAGAUAACAGUAGGCUUGUUGGAAGUAGAAAUUUGCAAGGGAUACAGUAAGGAAAAAAGAGAACAAGUUUAUAACUAAGAAAGUGGAGAUGAGCAUGGCAGUGAUCUGUUGUUAAUAAAUGACUAACAAAUAAUCCUAAAAAGAUGGUGUUUAGCUGAGAUUGUAAGACACGGAAAAUUCUAGGGUAGGGAUGUGGGAAGUCCACAGCCUGGAGAUUCAGCAGCUCCCCGCCCUUCUUACUGCACUAAGGGCAGAAAGUUCAGCAUCACCAUUCCUCUCUUCUCCCUUGUGUGCCCUUGCACACAAGCCAGGGUGGUUUCAUCCCAGCCCCAGAACCUCCUUUAAUUUUGCUUACGUUGCUGAGAAGCCCUGGGCCAGAGCUGGCGGAGAGGAACCUCAGGCGAAUUCCUCACUGAUUUCACACAGCUCAGGACAGGGCUUAACAAAUGUAUAGAGGAGGAGGGAGAACAUUUCUAGAGGCACAGGGAAGCAGGGGAUGGGCUGGCAAUUAUGCAGAUUUGUUGGCUGCAUCCCAGCCCUUGGUGGUUCUUCAAGGGCUGUGCCUGCUUUUGAGGCCAAAAAUUAGUCUAAUGCCUGGAUGAAAAGCAUCUCUCACCAAGCCCAUCAGCUUCCCCAUUUGCUUACAUAAUGCACAGCACACCCAGAUAAAAGAAUUCCCACUGGGAGCAGGGAUCAUGUGCCCACUUGCCGUUCUGCACCGCCAGGAAUAAGCAACGAACAUGCAAAGGGGGGACCCACAUCACAGCCUGUACAAAAA